Long non-coding RNA from Hippocampus comes (tiger tail seahorse), 268 nucleotides. RefSeq lists it as uncharacterized. The transcript is spliced from 2 exons. The record is from RefSeq and is a predicted model, not a curated record. Lineage: Eukaryota; Metazoa; Chordata; Actinopteri; Syngnathiformes; Syngnathidae.
UUGCAACACCGAGAGCGGGAAAAGGGAUCAUUUUGGAGACUUUGUUUUGCCCCGUAUGGCUUGAACUGGUCAAACAACACAAAAAUAAGGACAGAGUGCUGUAUGGUGAUGCCGUGAGAUCCAAGCCAUCAUGUUGGCAGCCAAAGAAAAACUUCAAGGCUUCAAGAUGGAGUCUACUGUCAAACGAUACAAACAGAUCAAUACAUUGUGGAUUGUGAACAACUUUGCCUUAAGAACGUCCGCGCUACCUUAACGCUAACGCAUAGUG